GGCUCAGGAUGAACGCUGGCGGUAUGCCUAACACAUGCAAGUCGAACGGUCACUUCGGUGAUAGCGGCGGACGGGUGAGUAACGCGUGAGAAUCUGCCUCUUGGUUGGGGACAACAGUUGGAAACGACUGCUAAUACCCAAUGUGCCGUAAGGUGAAAGAUUUAUUGCCAAGAGAGGAGCUCGCGUCUGAUUAGCUAGUUGGUAGUGUAAGGGACUACCAAGGCAUCGAUCAGUAGCUGGUCUGAGAGGAUGAGCAGCCACACUGGGACUGAGACACGGCCCAGACUCCUACGGGAGGCAGCAGUGGGGAAUUUUCCGCAAUGGGCGAAAGCCUGACGGAGCAAUACCGCGUGAGGGAGGAAGGCUCUUGGGUUGUAAACCUCUUUUCUUAGGGAAGAACACAAUGACGGUACCUAAGGAAUAAGCAUCGGCUAACUCCGUGCCAGCAGCCGCGGUAAUACGGAGGAUGCAAGCGUUAUCCGGAAUUAUUGGGCGUAAAGCGUCCGUAGGUGGUUUUUCAAGUCUGCUGUCAAAGACCGUGGCUUAACCACGGAAAGGCAGUGGAAACUGAGAGACUAGAGUUCGGUAGGGGUAGCGGGAAUUCCCAGUGUAGCGGUGAAAUGCGUAGAUAUUGGGAAGAACAUCGGUGGCGAAGGCGCGCUACUGGACCGAAACUGACACUCAGAGGACGAAAGCUAGGGGAGCGAAAGGGAUUAGAUACCCCUGUAGUCCUAGCUGUAAACGAUGGAAACUAGGUGUGGCUUGUAUCGACCCGAGCCGUGCCGAAGCUAACGCGUUAAGUUUCCCGCCUGGGGAGUACGCACGCAAGUGUGAAACUCAAAU
Molecule: ribosomal RNA, 843 nt
Filed under: uncultured bacterium
Lineage: Bacteria
Description: bacterial SSU rRNA
Rfam family: Bacterial small subunit ribosomal RNA
Source: RNAcentral